UGGGGAAUUUUGGGCAAUGGGGGAAACCCUGACCCAGCAACGCCGCGUGAAGGAUGAAGUAUUUCGGUAUGUAAACUUCGAAAGAAUAGGAAGAAUAAAUGACGGUACUAUUUAUAAGGUCCGGCUAACUACGUGCCAGCAGCCGCGGUAAUACGUAGGGACCAAGCGUUGUUCGGAUUUACUGGGCGUAAAGGGCGCGUAGGCGGCAUGACAAGUCACUUGUGAAAUCUCUGGGCUUAACCCAGAACGGCCAAGUGAUACUGUCGCGCUAGAGUGCAGAAGGGGCAAUCGGAAUUCUUGGUGUAGCGGUGAAAUGCGUAGAUAUCAAGAGGAACACCUGAGGUGAAGACGGGUUGCUGGGCUGACACUGACGCUGAGGCGCGAAAGCCAGGGGGGCAAACGGGAUUAGAUACCCUAGUAGUCCCUGAGCGGGCUGGCAAGGCGCAU
Molecule: ribosomal RNA, 447 nt
Filed under: uncultured bacterium
Lineage: Bacteria
Description: bacterial SSU rRNA
Rfam family: Bacterial small subunit ribosomal RNA
Source: RNAcentral